Molecule: ribosomal RNA, 510 nt
Filed under: uncultured bacterium
Lineage: Bacteria
Description: partial 16S ribosomal RNA
Rfam family: Bacterial small subunit ribosomal RNA
Source: RNAcentral
GACGAACGCUGGCGGCGUGCUUAACACAUGCAAGUCGAACGAAGAGCGAUGGAAGCUUGCUUCUAUCAAUCUUAGUGGCGAACGGGUGAGUAACGCGUAAUCAACCUGCCCUUCAGAGGGGGACAACAGUUGGAAACGACUGCUAAUACCGCAUACGAUCCAACCCCGGCAUCGAGGAUAGAUGAAAGGUGGCCUCUACAUGUAAGCUAUCAUUGAAGGAGGCGACUGCGUCUGAUUAGCUAGUUGGAGGGGUAACGGCCCACCAAGGCGAUGAUCAGUAGCCGGUCUGGGAGGAUGAACGGCCACAUUGGGACUGAGACACGGCCCAGGCUCCUACGGGAGGCAGCAGUGGGGAAUCUUCCGCAAUGGACGAAAGUCUGACGGAGCAACGCCGCGUGAGUGAUGACGGCCUUCGGGUUGUAAAGCUCUGUUAAUCGGGACGAAAGGCCUUCUUGCGAAUAGUGAGAAGGAUUGACGGUACCGGAAUAGAAAGCCACGGCUAACUACGUG